This is a long non-coding RNA of Drosophila ananassae, 476 nucleotides long. RefSeq lists it as uncharacterized. The record is from RefSeq and is a predicted model, not a curated record. Lineage: Eukaryota; Metazoa; Arthropoda; Insecta; Diptera; Drosophilidae. The transcript has 2 exons.
AAUUACCAUUUACAGCGAAAAUACUCUAAGUGACUUGAGUGAAAAUACUUAUCGAACAGUGAUUUCUACUUUUGACCAUCACUGCUUUGUGUGUUUCAUCUCUAGUUUGUGGUGUACAUUAAGUGACGCAAAAAAAGUGAUGCAAAAAUGCCUAAAGUGCUUUAUACGCAAAAGUUUCGCGAUGCUUGGAUGCAGGCUAGUGAGUUCAAGGCCUGGAUCUGGAAGGAUGAGGCGGAUUUGUCAAAAGCGUGUGUUCAGUCAAAUGAACAUAGUAAAAAGUAACCUCAGAAACAGGUUACAUAUAAAAACACUAAAUUCAAUUUUAAAAAUAAGAUACGGCCUGCGCAGAAAUGGAAAAUGCUGCCACGAUUAUGAAGUGCCAACGAAAUUUUUAAAAAUGAUGGCCGAAAAUGAAAAAUAUAACAAUGAAAACAGUGAAGAUGUAGAUUUAAUAAAAUCAUUAUUGGACAUUUAAA